Molecule: ribosomal RNA, 492 nt
Filed under: uncultured bacterium
Lineage: Bacteria
Description: partial 16S ribosomal RNA
Rfam family: Bacterial small subunit ribosomal RNA
Source: RNAcentral
AGUGAACGCUGGCGGUAGGCCUAACACAUGCAAGUCGAACGGCAGCACAGUAAGAGCUUGCUCUUACGGGUGGCGAGUGGCGGACGGGUGAGGAAUACAUCGGAAUCUACUUUUUCGUGGGGGAUAACGUAGGGAAACUUACGCUAAUACCGCAUACGACCUACGGGUGAAAGCAGGGGAUCUUCGGACCUUGCGCGAUUGAAUGAGCCGAUGUCGGAUUAGCUAGUUGGCGGGGUAAAGGCCCACCAAGGCGACGAUCCGUAGCUGGUCUGAGAGGAUGAUCAGCCACACUGGAACUGAGACACGGUCCAGACUCCUACGGGAGGCAGCAGUGGGGAAUAUUGGACAAUGGGCGCAAGCCUGAUCCAGCCAUACCGCGUGAGUGAAGAAGGCCUUCGGGUUGUAAAGCCCUUUUGUUGGGAAAGAAAAGCAGCAGGUUAAUACCCCGCUGUUCUGACGGUACCCAAAGAAUAAGCACCGGCCAACUUCGUG